Molecule: unclassified non-coding RNA, 325 nt
Filed under: Hevea brasiliensis (rubber tree)
Lineage: Eukaryota; Viridiplantae; Streptophyta; Magnoliopsida; Malpighiales; Euphorbiaceae
Source: RNAcentral
CGACCUUUCUUCCUUCGCUUAAUUUCUGCCUAACUAUAUGCCCCAAAGUUGGAUUUACUGGUUGAAAGAAUUCAUCAACAACAUUUUGUGCCCUCAAAUCCUCUGAAGAUGAACAAACUCCAGAUGGUAUCAAUGCUGAAUUUGAUUGAGUACUGACAAGAGAACUACUAGUUGUAGGAGGUUGCCGUUUUUUUGGCCUUUGAUGAGGUCCACCAGGUAACCUCCAUAGCUUCCAGGUAAAUACUACUGCAACAGCAAGGCCAGCAAUAGCCACAACAGAUCGAGAAUCCAGGUUAUGGAAUGAGGUCGGGAAGAGAUGGGAAAU